CUUUUGUUGCCUAUACUUUUCACGUAUAGCAUUGAGAGGGCAAUUACUGGUGUUAUGCUGCAGUUCCCGUAGAGCACAGACACAUAUUUGAAUAUCAGAGCUUUUGUAAGAAGUUGCAUAUCCUUGUUAUACGAACCCAUGGAAUGUCAGAUUGGUCAAGUGUCCAUCUUGCAAGAAAGACUGCAGAUGCUGCCACCACUGAAGGAAGAAAUUUGAGGAAACUGUAAUCGAUCAGGGUCAGCUCUGCAAGAUAAUUGGCCAGAUAUCCCAAGAUUGGACAAGAAACACCAUAUGUAUGUGGUAACCAAAACUACCUGAGAAAUGUUUUUGUUGUUGGAACAGAUAGAUGAAACCCCAUAUCAUUAAGCACCAGGCCCUCCAUUUUCAGCACCUAUUUUUUGUGUAUGUAUUGUCAGUUAUGAAACAAAAUUCUUCAACACGAGGAGCACAUAUCUCUUCAUAUUUCGAGGCAAUCAGCAUGCUUGUUAUUCCAAGAAGUUGGAGUUUCUGUCUUUCAAUAUAAUGUUGAGAAAGAAAUCGGUCAAUAAGAUUAAUGGUUAGGUAGAGUGUGUCUGGCACAAGCUUAUAUUCUUCAGAAACCUCAACAAGCCAAUCAAUGAGAAUGCCUCGCAUGCCCUUUGUGAUGUCACGUUGCAAAGCCUCCAUGUAAUUUGACCUGGAACAAAAACAUACCUCAGAGGCCAUCAGAUUUGUGUAUAUCUCUGAAGCAUAGGAAGCACACAUUUGAGGAUUUCCAUUAUCAUUGUCAAUAUCUAUAAAACCUAAACCACUAGAGUCACCAGGCUUGGAGUCAGCGAGUUCAUGUUUAUCCAUGGCGUUUCUUGCCUCAAAGAAUGCCUCAUGGCAAUUACUGUCCCUGUUUCGCUCAAUAUUCUGCAAUGACAGUAACCCCUCGUUUUCAAACAAAUUUGUGGGUUCCUCUGCUUUUGCCAAAAGCUCCACCUUUUGAGUUUCUUCAGAACUUUUAGAAUCAAUCACAAAUGAAGUUCCAGCAACAGCCGGAGGGGGUAGCUUAGGAACCUUCUUUGCACACUGCUUUUUGCUCGGGAUUUGUUUCACCCUUUGGCAGCUCUUGAUACCUGCAGCUUGCUCGUGGUGGUGCAAUUUUUGGAUGAGUUGGCACAGCCGAUGUUGGUUACAUCCUUGAGCACUGUGCGCCGUUUAGGCUGAGGAGCUGAAGUUGCAGUACUUGCACUAGUGAUUUCAUCCAAAGCUCCCCUUUUUGUCUUUCCUUUUGCUGUCUGCUUUCGUUCAGUUCUUGCGGGUAGUGAUACGGAGGGAGCAAACCCAAACCGUCCACGAUUUGCAGCAGCUUGAGCUCGUGUGAUUCGACCACUGGGUGCUUGGCAAGCAGUAAGCACCGGAUUUUCCUUCCUUCCAGCCAUGUGAGCC
RNAcentral lists this small RNA (1413 nucleotides) under Oryza sativa Japonica Group (Japanese rice). RNAcentral describes it as "sRNA Os12g0502350". The record is from RNAcentral. Lineage: Eukaryota; Viridiplantae; Streptophyta; Magnoliopsida; Poales; Poaceae.